RNAcentral lists this long non-coding RNA (915 nucleotides) under Cicer arietinum (chickpea). Its description in RNAcentral is "long non-coding RNA (CARI_LNC002398)". The record is from RNAcentral. Lineage: Eukaryota; Viridiplantae; Streptophyta; Magnoliopsida; Fabales; Fabaceae.
GCAAAGUUAGCAAUAUAGAAAAUUAAAGAGAGAGAGUUAGAGAAGAAAACACAGAGAUUUAUCCUGGUUCGGUUGUCAACAACAACCUACGUCCAGUCCUGAAAAUCCAAUCGGAUUUCAGAUUUUCUUCUCCUUCAAUAGAAAGAAUCAAUUACAGAUUGUCCAGUUUCCUCCCUGAAACCUAUCUAUCUUAAUGAUCUCUUUCCUAUUGAAUACCCUCUGAUCCUUGUAGAUACUCGUCAAUCUAACACAGAAUCACAGUGCGACUCUUUCUUGUUGAACACUCUUCACCCAAGAAAGUAGCCACCAGUUUCUAGCUGGCUUUCUAUCAACCCUUUGAUCCUUGUAGACAAUCGGCAGCCUAACACAAAAUCAAAGUACGACUCUUUCUUGUUGAGCCCUCUCACCCAAGAAAGUAGCCACCAGUUUCUAGCUGGAUUUCUAGCGUUCGUUUUGGUUCAAAGAUUUAUUACAGAAUGAAUAAAAGAAGUAAAACAAAAGGGUCUUCAAUCUUUAUGAAUGUUGCUCCUCACGAAUCUGGAUAUUCAAGGAAUGUUCAUGAGCACAUUAUCAUUUCUCUUGGAUUGUCAACAAACUGUAUUGUAAUCUGUAAUCACAAUUAUGAAGUUGUUAGUUUGUUGUUAUGAACAGUUGAGAGCAUUAUGAGAAAUUAUGAAAGUUAUGAAUUAUUAUGAAAAAGUUAUUAGAAUAAAGAUUGAAAGACAGUUUAUAUAGUUUCUGAAAAACCAACUACGCAAUCGAUUUCCCAAUCGAUUUUGUAAAGUUAUAAAAGGUGCUAAAUCGAUUUGCCAAUCGAUUAUCGCGAUCUUGGUUUUCUUUAAUCUUGAAACUAUACAAGCUAAUCGAUUUACCAAUCGAUUCUUUAAAACAACACUUUUCAGCAGAACAUGUCCA